Molecule: non-coding RNA, 29 nt
Filed under: Homo sapiens (human)
Lineage: Eukaryota; Metazoa; Chordata; Mammalia; Primates; Hominidae
Source: RNAcentral
UGGGAAGACAAAAACAUGUCGGAGACUGC